This is a long non-coding RNA of Macrobrachium nipponense, 467 nucleotides long. RefSeq lists it as uncharacterized. Lineage: Eukaryota; Metazoa; Arthropoda; Malacostraca; Decapoda; Palaemonidae. The transcript has 2 exons. The record is from RefSeq and is a predicted model, not a curated record.
GGGUCAGUCCCCAUCACGCCCUCAAAAUGAAAUCCCUCGUCUUGUGGCUGCUGGUGCUGGUGCUGAGUUUGGCUUACUUGAACGAGGCAUCGACGAAAGAAAACCCGAUGGAGUGUUCCGCCAAAAAUUACACACUUCAUCUGGGUUGCCAUGUGACUCUCUACCACACCGGCGAGAUGCCGGAAUCCUUGGGCUUAAACGUCGACAAGGAGGACCUGCUGAAAAAGACCUGCCACUGCCCACCCCCGAAAGUAGAGGGCUACUGCCUGUCCAUAAUUCGGAAUGCAAUCAAAGGCGGCGUUGACAAGUGUCCCAAGACCUCCACUUGAUCAGAUAAUUCAACAGCAGUGGCUUGUUAUUCAAGAUCAUAUGCACUUACUCAAAUCAAUACAGAAAGGUAUAUUUCACUAGACUUGUUAUUCACGAUAAUGUAUAAUUUAUCGUAGCAAUAUAAGAAAGUUUUUUCA